AUUAUAGUAAUUUAAUGGUAGAAUAUUUGCUUGUGGUGCUUAUUGUUUAGGUUCAAUUCCUAACUAUAAUC
RNAcentral lists this transfer RNA (71 nucleotides) under Hanseniaspora guilliermondii. RNAcentral's name for it is "transfer RNA-His(GTG)". It matches the Rfam family "tRNA". From Rfam's summary of the family: Transfer RNA (tRNA) molecules are approximately 80 nucleotides in length. The record is from RNAcentral. RNAcentral also lists the same sequence under 1 other name. Lineage: Eukaryota; Fungi; Ascomycota; Saccharomycetes; Saccharomycodales; Saccharomycodaceae.